Molecule: long non-coding RNA, 506 nt
Organism: Alligator sinensis (Chinese alligator)
Lineage: Eukaryota; Metazoa; Chordata; Crocodylia; Alligatoridae
Exons: 5
Source: RefSeq, a predicted model, not a curated record
GGAGAGAGCAAGGAGCAUGAGCUGGGGUUGGAACCAUUUGCAGGCAGGAAACAGACUGAAAUUCAGAGGAGUUUGCUUCUAGGAAGGCCAGAGCUUCCUUCAGGUUAGUAAGAAUACCAAUAAGAAAAUGCUGUAUUGAUGAAAAUGGAGUGAGAAGUAUAACUCAGGAUAUUACAGCUGGAAUAACCCUGCUGGAGAGAACAAUCUGUCAAGAGGCUGUUUACAAUAAGAAAAGAGAAUAACUUAUAAAACUGGAGAACAAGCAAGAGAACAAGACAAUUUAAAGGCAAAGUAUCAAGAAUUUGUCCCACACAUGAGGAGCACCUCUACUGUACUUUUCAUCUGAAUGGAUCCUAAUGAUGUAUAAUCUGAACAUCCGGAAGAAGCAUAAUGUGACAGAAUCUGAGGGAAAAAAUAUCUAGUAGCAUUUUGUUAAUGUGCAAACAAUGAUGCCUCAUUUUUCAGACUGUAUUAAUAGCUUUAAUUGCUUUCAAUAAAAUAAUCAA